Molecule: ribosomal RNA, 450 nt
Filed under: uncultured bacterium
Lineage: Bacteria
Description: bacterial SSU rRNA
Rfam family: Bacterial small subunit ribosomal RNA
Source: RNAcentral
AGUUUGAUCAUGGCUCAGAACGAACGCUGGCGGCAUGCCUAACACAUGCAAGUCGAACGAAGCCUUCGGGCUUAGUGGCGCACGGGUGCGUAACGCGUGGGAACCUACCAUCAGGUUCGGAAUAACAGUUAGAAAUGACUGCUAAUACCGGAUAAUGUCUUCGGACCAAAGAUUUAUCGCCUUUUGAUGGGCCCGCGUUGGAUUAGCUAGUUGGUGGGUAAAGGCCUACCAAGGCGACGAUCCAUAGCUGGUCUGAGAGGAUGAUCAGCCACACUGGGACUGAGACACGGCCCAGACUCCUACGGGAGGCAGCAGUGGGGAAUAUUGGACAAUGGGCGAAAGCCUGAUCCAGCAAUGCCGCGUGAGUGAUGAAGGCCUUAGGGUUGUAAAGCUCUUUUACCAGGGAUGAUAAUGACAGUACCUGGAGAAUAAGUUCCGGCUAACUCCGUG